CUCGAGUGGCGAACGGGUGAGUAACACGUGAGUAACCUGCCCUUGACUUCGGGAUAACUUCAGGAAACUGGGGCUAAUACCGGAUAGGAAUCCUUGCUGCAUGGUGGGGGUUGGAAAGCUUCGGCGGGUUUGGAUGGACUCGCGGCUUAUCAGCUUGUUGGUGGGGUAGUGGCUUACCAAGGUUUUGACGGGUAGCCGGCCUGAGAGGGCCACCGGCCACAUUGGGACUGAGAUACGGCCCAGACUCCUACGGGAGGCAGCAGUGGGCAAUAUUGCACAAUGGGCGGACGCCUGAUGCAGCAACGCCGCGUGC
This 313-nucleotide ribosomal RNA is filed under the name Cutibacterium avidum. RNAcentral describes it as "bacterial SSU rRNA". It matches the Rfam family "Bacterial small subunit ribosomal RNA", at positions 90 to 404 of the family's 1533-position model. Lineage: Bacteria; Bacillati; Actinomycetota; Actinomycetes; Propionibacteriales; Propionibacteriaceae. The record is from RNAcentral.